Poecilia reticulata (guppy) is the source of this 293-nucleotide non-coding RNA. Lineage: Eukaryota; Metazoa; Chordata; Actinopteri; Cyprinodontiformes; Poeciliidae. The record is from RefSeq and is a predicted model, not a curated record.
GCGUCUUCCAGAAGGUUAAUCUAUGACUUAACUGGCCAGGCUACAGCAAAAUGUCAACCAAAGCUUUAUCAGUGAGGAUCUUUGGAUGAUUGACACAGCCAACGCACAAAAAGAAGAAAACACUUUUAAAGAUGUGUGUUUCAGCACUAUAACUAGAAAAAAGAAAAAGAAAAAAAUCCCAAAGAAGGCACAACCACAGUGGGUGCUAUGCCUGUCCUUGGGCCAUUCAAUUACUGACUGCACUUUCUUCCCACUAACACGAAGUUGAAAGUGGAGGACCACCCCACAUGAAA